Molecule: small nuclear RNA, 108 nt
Filed under: Erpetoichthys calabaricus (reedfish)
Lineage: Eukaryota; Metazoa; Chordata; Cladistia; Polypteriformes; Polypteridae
Description: U2 spliceosomal RNA (ENSECRG00000021184.1)
Rfam family: U2 spliceosomal RNA
About the family: U2 is a small nuclear RNA (snRNA) component of the spliceosome (involved in pre-mRNA splicing). Complementary binding between U2 snRNA (in an area lying towards the 5' end but 3' to hairpin I) and the branchpoint sequence (BPS) of the intron results the bulging out of an unpaired adenosine, on the BPS, which initiates a nucleophilic attack at the intronic 5' splice site, thus starting the first of two transesterification reactions that mediate splicing.
Source: RNAcentral
AUCGCUUCUCGGCCUUUUGGCUAAGAUCAAGUGUAGUAUCUGUUCUUAUGGAGUUGCCGAUACUUUCUCUCAGAAAUGGCUCAGCCUGCUUCUAGGCAAAAACCUCCU